UCGAGAAUCUUCGGCAAUGGGCGCAAGCCUGACCGAGCGACGCCGCGUGGAGGAUGAAGGCCCUUGGGUUGUAAACUCCUGUCAGAGGGGAUGAAGUGCCAGUCAGCAAUCUGAUUGGUUUGACAUAGCCUCAGAGGAAGCACGGGCUAAGUUCGUGACAGCAGCCGCGGUAAUACGUAGGUGGCAAGCGUUGUCCGGAUUUACUGGGCGUAAAGCGCGCGCAGGCGGUCGUUCAAGUCGCGUGUGAAAGCCCCCGGCUCAACUGGGGAGGGUCACGCGAUACUGAUCGACUCGAAGGCAGGAGAGGGUAGUGGAAUUCCCGGUGUAGUGGUGAAAUGCGUAGAUAUCGGGAGGAACACCGGUGGCGAAGGCGGCGACCUGGGUAGAUACUGACGCUGAGGCGCGAAAGCGUGGGGAGCAAA
Molecule: ribosomal RNA, 422 nt
Filed under: uncultured bacterium
Lineage: Bacteria
Description: bacterial SSU rRNA
Rfam family: Bacterial small subunit ribosomal RNA
Source: RNAcentral